This 463-nucleotide ribosomal RNA is filed under the name uncultured bacterium. RNAcentral describes it as "partial 16S ribosomal RNA". It matches the Rfam family "Bacterial small subunit ribosomal RNA", at positions 28 to 505 of the family's 1533-position model. The record is from RNAcentral.
GAUGAACGCUGGCGGCGUGCUUAACACAUGCAAGUCGAACGGAAAGGCUCCUGCUUGCAGGGGUACUCGAGUGGCGAACGGGUGAGUAACACGUGGGUGAUCUGCCCUGCACUUCGGGAUAAGCCUGGGAAACUGGGUCUAAUACCGGAUAGGACCACAUUUUGGAUGGUGUGGUGGAAAGUUUUUCGGUGUGGGAUGAGCUCGCGGCCUAUCAGCUUGUUGGUGGGGUAAUGGCCUACCAAGGCGUCGACGGGUAGCCGGCCUGAGAGGGUGUACGGCCACAUUGGGACUGAGAUACGGCCCAGACUCCUACGGGAGGCAGCAGUGGGGAAUAUUGCACAAUGGGCGCAAGCCUGAUGCAGCGACGCCGCGUGGGGGAUGACGGCCUUCGGGUUGUAAACUCCUUUCGCUAGGGACGAAGCGCAAGUGACGGUACCUGGAGAAGAAGCACCGGCUAACUACG